This is a non-coding RNA of Pristionchus pacificus, 64 nucleotides long. NCBI's taxonomy places the organism in Eukaryota, Metazoa, Nematoda, Chromadorea, Rhabditida, Neodiplogasteridae. The record is from Rfam.
UCUUCAUUUCAUGUGCUCUCUCACCAGUCAGAGAGACGAGAGAGCAUUAGAAAAAAUGAAGAGA